Molecule: long non-coding RNA, 5506 nt
Filed under: Triticum aestivum (bread wheat)
Lineage: Eukaryota; Viridiplantae; Streptophyta; Magnoliopsida; Poales; Poaceae
Description: long non-coding RNA (TAES_LNC014551)
Source: RNAcentral
UCGGCUACCACUACUUAGGUGAGUCCUUGGUCUCUCCUUUCUCCUCUGUCUGUUCUGGGAUCUAGCCUUCGUGCUAUGGCCAUACUGUGCAGUCAUCUCAUUGCAUAUCUGGUAGUUUCAAACAUCGUGCAGUAUGUGCCAAUUUCUUCCGCCUCAAUUUUUUUUGGCAUGAAAGAAUAAUUUGAUAGCUUUGAUUCAUUUUAUCAAUUAGACCUCUGUUGUCAAAUAGAACAAUGUGCACUUAGUUAAAUUUCUAAUAUUGCUGCUUCCCUUUUGAUUUAGGAUAUUUUUGGGACCAUUGAGUUUAUAUGAUCUUUUGACUGUCUGGCGCAGUGGGGAGGAUCUGCCCACUUGUGCCAAGAGGUCAUGGGUUCGACACAGUCCCUCUGCAUUGCACUGUGCAGGGGUAAGGCUUGCUUCAUAUGACUCCAUUGGCGUAGGGCGGCCGGAAUUGGGCGCGACGGCAGCUGUGGGGUGAAGUUUCACUUUGGGUGUUGGGGUUCCCGCCGCAGCCCUUUUGGUUUUCGGGCAGCUGUUAGUGGUGAUGUGUAAUUUGCAUCACCUGUAGCAAUUUUUUGGGCACGACCUAAAUUUUUUUGGGCACCAUAUAUACCUGUAGUGCUGCUGUUGGAGGCGUUUUAUUUGACCCCCACCCCAAGUGACCUAAAAAGCAUUUUUUUGGGCACAGCUGCAUUUUUAGGGCUGCUGUUGGGGAUGCUCAUGUAGUUAUCACGCAGUGUUCAGACUCUGCAUUCUAUGACGGUCACCCUGUAUUGACACCAUUUGAUUAAUCUUAUGUUACCUUGGUCUGCUUGUAUGAAGUGCCAUUUAUUUAUCUUUGAGCAAUCUGCUAUUGGUGUUAGCAAAGCCGUAUUUGUUUGUAAUCUGGCAAUGGUUUAUAGGUCUCGUUUACUUGAUAGCAAAUUCACAAUGGUUCAACUGAAUCUUGAUUUAUCUACAUUUUUUUUAAGUUUUUGGUUAGCUGCAACUCACGGGUCCUUGUCAGUCUGUUACAUAAUCUAAAGACUAAAGAGCCAUGGACUUUUUCCACUUAUUUAGUCAGCACCUUUGUUCUGCAUUUUGUUCACUAGAGAGAUCUGAUUCGGCUGUUUGAAUAUUACAGGAGAGCAUAACAACAACAACAACAAAGCCUUUAGUCCCAAACAAGUUGGGGUAGGCUAGAGGUGAAACCCAUAAGAUCUCGCAACCAACUCAUGGCUCUGGCACAUGGAUAGCAAGCUUCCACGCACCCCUGUCCAUAGCUAGCUCUUUGGUGAUACUCCAAUCCUUCAGGUCUCUCUUAACGGACUCCUCCCAUGUCAAAUUCGGUCUACCCCGCCCUCUCUUGACAUUCUCUGCACGCUUUAGCCGUCCGCUAUGCACUGGAGCUUCUGGAGGCCUGCGCUGAAUAUGCCCAAACCAUCUCAGACGAUGUUGGACAAGCUUCUCCUCAAUUGGUGCUACCCCAACUCUAUCUCGUAUAUCAUCAUUCCGGACUCGAUUCUUCCUCGUGUGGCCACACAUCCAUCUCAACAUACGCAUCUCCGCCACACCUAACUGUUGAACAUGUCGCCUUUUAGUCGGCCAACACUCCGCGCCAUACAACAUUGCGGGUCGAACCGCCGUCCUGUAGAACUUGCCUUUUAGCUUUUGUGGCACUCUCUUGUCACAGAGAAUGCCAGAAGCUUGGCGCCACUUCAUCCAUCCGGCUUUGAUUUGAUGGUUCACAUCUUCAUCAAUACCCCCAUCCUCCUGCAACAUUGACCCCAAAUACCGAAAGGUGUCCUUCCGAGGUACCACCUGGCCAUCAAGGCUAACCUCCUCCUCCUCACACCUAGUAGUACUGAAACCGCACAUCAUGUACUCGGUUUUAGUUCUACUAAGCCUAAACCCUUUCGAUUCCAAGGUUUGUCUCCAUAACUCUAACUUCCUAUUUACCCCCGUCCGACUAUCGUCAACUAGCACCACAUCAUCCGCAAAGAGCAUACACAAUGGGAUAUCUCCUUGUAUAUCCCUUGUGACCUCAUCCAUCACCAAUGCAAAAAGAUAAGGGCUCAAAGCUGACCCCUGAUGCAGUCCUAUCUUAAUCGGGAAGUCAUCGGUGUCGACAUCACUUGUUCGAACACUUGUCACAACAUUAUCGUACAUGUCCUUGAUGAUGGUAAUGUACUUUGCUGGGACUUUGUGUUUCUCCAAGGCCCACCACAUGACAUUCCGCGGUAUCUUAUCAUAGGCCUCCUCCAAGUCAAUGAACACCAUAUGCAAGUCCUUCUUUUGCUCCCUAUAUCUCUCCAUAAGUUGUCGUACCAAGAAAAUGGCUUCCAUGGUCGACCUCCCAGGCAUGAAACCAAACUGAUUUUUGGUCACGCUUGUCAUUCUUCUUAAGCGGUGCUCAAUGACUCUCUCCCAUAGCUUCAUUGUAUGGCUCAUCAGCUUAAUUCCACGGUAAUUAGUACAACUCUGAACAUCCCCCUUGUUCUUGAAGAUUGGUACUAAUAUACUCCGUCUCCAUUCUUCUGGCAUCUUGUUUGCCCGAAAAAUGAGGUUGAAAAGCUUGGUUAGCCAUACUAUUGCUAUGUCCCCGAGACCUUUCCACACCUCAAUGGGGAUACAAUCAGGGCCCAUCGCCUUGCCUCCUUUCAUCCUUUUUAAAGCCUCCUUCACCUUAGACUCCUGGAUUCGCCGCACAAAACGCAUGCUGGUCUCAUCAAAGGAGUCGUCUAGUUCAAUGGUAGAACUCUCAUUCUCCCCAUUGAACAGCUUGUCGAAGUACUCCCGCCAUCUAUGCUUAAUCUCCUCGUCCUUCACCAAGAGUUGGCCUGCUCCGUCCUUGAUGCAUUUGACUUGGCCAAUGUCCCUCGUCUUCCUCUCUCGGAUCUUGGCCAUCUUAGAGAUGUCCCUUUCACCUUCCUUCGUGCCUAACCGUUGGUAGAGGUCCUCAUAUGGCCGACCCCUUGCUUCACCAACAGCUCGCUUUGCGGCCUUCUUCGCCAUCUUGUACUUCUCUAUGUUGUCUGCACUCCUAUCCAGGUAUAGGCGUCUGAAGCAAUCUUUCUUCUCUUUAAUCGCCUUCUGGACGUCAUCAUUCCACCACCAGGUAUCCUUAUCUUCGCUUCUCCUUCCCCUGGACACUCCAAACUCCUCCGAGGCCACCUUACGAAUGCAAGUCGCCAUCUUCAUCCACACAUUGUCCGCAUCCACUCCUUCCUCCCAAGGGCCCUCCUUAAUGACCCUCUCCUUGAACACCUGAGCUACCUCCCCCUUGAGCUUCCACCACUUCGUUCUAGCGACUUUGGCACGCUUAUUCCGCUGGACACGAAUCCGAAAGCGGAAGUCAGCAACCACCAGCUUAUGCUGGGGUACAACACUCUCUCCAGGUAUCACCUUACAGUCUAGGCACGCACGCAUAUCUUCUCUUCUCGAGAGGAUGAGAUCAAUCUGGCUAGAGUGUUGGCCACUACUAAAAGUCACCAGAUGUGAUUCUCUCUUUCUAAAGAGGGUGUUAGCUACAAUCAUGUUGUAGGCUAGAGCAAAGCUUAAGACAUCUUCUCCUUCUUGAUUCCUGAUGCCAUGGCCAAAGCCCCCAUGCGCCCUUCAAAACCUGUGUUAGAUGUACCCACGUGGCCAUUGAGGUCUCCUCCUAUGAAGAGCUUCUCACCAAUCGGUACACUCCUAACCAUGUCUUCCAGGCCUUCCCAGAACUCCCUCUUGGUGUUCUCAUUGUGGCCUACUUGCGGGGCAUACGCGCUGAUAACAUUGAGAACCAAGUCCUCAACUACCAGCUUGACCAAGAUAAUCCGGUCCCCACGUCUCUUGACGUCUACCACUCCAUACUUGAGGCUCUUGUUGAUCAAGAUGCCUACGCCAUUUCUGUUUGCAGUCGUCCCCGUGUACCACAACUUGAAGCCGGUAUCCUCCACCUCCUUCGCCUUCUGUCCUCUCCAUUUGGUUUCUUGGACGCAAAGGAUAUCAACACCUCUCCUCACCGCUGCAUCAACUAGCUCCCGAAGCUUCCCUAUCAGAGACCCUACGUUCCAGCUACCUAAGCGAAUCCUCCUAGGCUCGGCUAGCUUCCUUACCCUUCGCAUCCGUCGAGUCAAAUGCGAAGACCCUUGCUCAUUUUCCACUACACCCGGGCGCCGAUGUAGCGCGCCACUAAGGAUGCGAUGACCCGAUCCUCGCUCACUUGCCACCGUAUCCGGAUCAAGAUACGGCGCGCCACUUGGGGGGUGACGGCCCGGCCCUUGCCCACUUUCCACCACACCCGGGUUCCGAUGUGGCGCGUCGCUGAGAGGGUUACGCCCCAACGAAAAUCUUUUGGGUUUCAUCUCCAUAAGAGUGGCUGAGUUUUUACGUUGGCUCGCCAAGCCUAUCACAACCCUCCUCCUUUACCCGGGCUUGGGACCGGCUAUGUUGAGACAACAACUACAGGAGAGCAUAGGUAAAGAAAAUAAAAUACUCUGGAACACAAUGACUUUCAUAUUGCAUUUUUGUCCGUAUGACCUGACUGGCUUUCUUUUUUCCUCCACACCCUUAUGUUGCUUUGUGUGCCCAUGGCCAUCACGCCGAUGCAAUUUCUAGGAUUUGGUUUGUGGUUGGUCAUCUGAUCAUGGCUUCCUCUACUACGUAGGGAUAUGAUGCCUGUGCUCAGUUUGUGUAGAGACUGAGUGCGUGUCUGUUUUGAUCUUCCGAUGGUUGCUAUGCUUGUCCCGGUUAAUAUGAGUUGCUGAUAUAAAAUGCUCAGUGGUGAAAGUAACUGUUAAUCUUUUGCUGGCUGCCAUUUUGAAAUAAAAUGCAGUGCAGGUACUUUCAUGGUGUUAACUUUUAGAGAGAGAAGACAUGGUCGAAUGCAGUGCAAAAUUAAUGUUGCUUUGGCACGAUUGUCCUUUACGUGUUGCUUCCUCUGUUCUUUGUGAUACCUUUUUUUAUACUAACCUUGUGAUGCUUUCUAGUAACCUUAUUUCUUGGCCAUUAAUCAAUAUUGUUUGGCCUGACUUGAUGUUGAUGGUGAAGAAGGUGAAGAAAUCUGUGCUGGAGGGGAUGGUGGAUCCGCAACCACCGAGGAAGGUCGUUUAACUGCAGAAGUUCGAUCUUCCAGAGGCCAGGGCGAUCCCGGGCGGCAUGCACCAUCCGGUGGUGCCCCGGCAGAUGAUUGACCUAUGGAGCUUAUAGUGCCGUUUGGUCUAUUGGAAGUCCGGUGGUACUGGUUUCCUUUAUAUUUCCCACUUCUGUAUUUCUGAGCUUGCCAUUGUGUGUUUCUGCUGAAUGUGAGUGGUGUUGUUCCGGUUGUGUGGAUCAGCUCCGGCGAGAACCUGAUGGGUUCUUUUGCUGGGUUUGUAAAAGUGCUUGUCUAUUUGAAACGCAUGCUACCAAGCCCAAGUUGAAACGAAACCGAUGUAGGUUUCUGCUGGUCUCAUGCUUGAGUUCCAUAAAAGCCUCUCCUGGCCGCCGCGGCCAAGGCUGCUCCGGUGGCUGCAAGGAUUAAUGACUCAGGGCUGUUCCAUAG